This 79-nucleotide transfer RNA is filed under the name Morchella conica CCBAS932. It matches the Rfam family "tRNA". From Rfam's summary of the family: Transfer RNA (tRNA) molecules are approximately 80 nucleotides in length. Their secondary structure includes four short double-helical elements and three loops (D, anti-codon, and T loops). Further hydrogen bonds mediate the characteristic L-shaped molecular structure. tRNAs have two regions of fundamental functional importance: the anti-codon, which is responsible for specific mRNA codon recognition, and the 3' end, to which the tRNAs corresponding amino acid is attached (by aminoacyl-tRNA synthetases). tRNAs cope with the degeneracy of the genetic code in two manners: having more than one tRNA (with a specific anti-codon) for a particular amino acid; and 'wobble' base-pairing, i.e. permitting non-standard base-pairing at the 3rd anti-codon position. The record is from Rfam by way of RNAcentral. Lineage: Eukaryota; Fungi; Ascomycota; Pezizomycetes; Pezizales; Morchellaceae.
GCCUUGCUAGCUCAAUCGGUAGAGCGUAAGACUCUUAAACGGUAUCUCAAGGUUGCGGGUUCGACCCCCGCGUGGGGCU